RNA transcript from Biomphalaria glabrata, 1910 nucleotides. It is a transcript of the gene named heat shock protein hsp-16.2-like, with no coding region annotated. Lineage: Eukaryota; Metazoa; Mollusca; Gastropoda; Planorbidae. The transcript is spliced from 5 exons. The record is from RefSeq and is a predicted model, not a curated record.
AUUAUAAAGAUCUAUUGCUAGAUCUAGAUCUAUAAGUUGAAAGAAUAAACUCCAUCGCCGAUCGUGAAAUUUCCAUUUUCAUACGACACGUACGAACUUAUACCAGCUUUUCUAGCAACUUCUCGACUUCUAUUCUAAAUUUAGACUCUAGAUCUAGUAACUGUACGGAAACUUCUAGUUAGGCUUUGGAAUGAUAUUUAAGCAGGCAUGAUUCGAGAAUUGUUAGAUAUCAUUAAAACUUUGGCAAAACAAUCGGUCGCUCAGAAUUCUAGUUUCUGAACUAGACUAGCUCUACACUGGACCACACUGAUAGUCUACUCUAGUCUAACACAUAGACUCUAAAUAGUCUUAACUCUAGCGCUAGCGACUAGUGACUCCAGUAGUAGUACUAGAUUGUCUAGAUCUAGAAUCUAUCUAGAUCUAUGUCCUAUGUAGUAUAAUAGUAGAAGUACUCGGAGUUCGUAUCUGUGUUUCUGUGGUAUUUUAUUUUAUAAUUUAUCGAAAGGGGAAUCAUUAAGUUGAUUAAUAAUUUAAGCAUUGAAAAAGCAAAAAUGUUUUUAAUUACACCACAGCUGAAUGAGGAAAUGCUGGAUUGGGCUGAUGAACUGAUUGAACCAUGGUGUAUUAAGGCAAUCAAACCUUCGUUUUUUCAGGAAAGAGAUUAUCCACUGACAAAAUUGGCAGCUAAAGUGAUGAAUCCUGAGAGAAAACUUAGAUCUGUUAAAAGACUUCACAGACCUCUUAGCUCAAGGCAGUGGAAUAAAAAGAAAUAUAACAGAGAUGUUUCUGAUGAUGAAACUAAUGUGAAACAACAUGAGUCAGAUAGACAGAAUUACCCAGAGCUGGUGAGUCAUUUUCAAAAUUUGAAGGCACUGACUCCAAGAGCAAGAAGCAAUGUCUGAAUAAUUAUGACCCUGACACCUUGAAUCCAAAAAUGGUACAGACUCCACAGCUCUGUUUCAAGUACAGACAACUGAUAAGGAGUUGAGAAUUCACUUGGAUCUCCAUCAGUACAGACCAGAGGAAGUUAAGAUAACAUCUGACAAUCAGAAAAUAACUAUUAAAGCUACGCAUGAAGAGAAGAAUGAUAACAGUUCUGUUUGUUAUGAAAUGACAAGAUCUUUUACAUUACCAGAGAAUGUUGACUUCAAAUCAGCCCUGUCAACAAUGAAUUCAGAUGGUCAGCUGAGUAUUACAAUAUCCAGAUCUAACAAAGAAACUUUGGAUGAAGUUCCAAUACAAGUUGAAUUUAAAGAAUGAGUGUGACAACUUCCUUCAAAUAACAACUUUCAUCUACAUUUUCAUACAUUGAAAGAAUUAACCUUCAUUUUCAUCGCUAUACUGUGUUCACAUUGUUAUUUUAUAAAAAUCUUCACUGCCAUUACUUUCUUUUAGUUUAUUUGUAAUCAUAAUUUUUUUAAUGUAAACCUGAUGUUUCAAUUAAUGUUAGUAUUAAUUGUACAGUGGCUGUAUUUAUUGUUGAAAAGUAUUUAUGACUGGGUUGUUUGUUUACAAUAUGUAAUGUUUUAUGCAUGUGAACACAAUUACUUUCUAAUAGUUACUUGAUGACUAUACUUGGUAAGUUUAGGUUAUAAGUUGACUACUAUUACUAACUAAAUGUUUAAACCUGCAGAACAAAAAGAGGUUUAAGAGCCUUUUAUCAAUUAAAGGUAUUGUUUUAGUAUUUGAGCAUUUUUUCUCUUUACAUGUUUCAUUGUCAUUAAUUGAAAUUUCUAUUGCAUAAUAAAUCUGUUUUUAUGUAUUAUUUACUUUGGUAAGCCCUUAUGAUUAGCAUUUGUUUAUUGACUAUCAAUGUAAUAUUGAAAGUUUGCUAAAUUCUUAUAUGAUAAAUUGGUUUUAAUAUUUCAACCUUGUUUCAUUCCAAGCUGAUGUUGAUUUAUGUAAAAUAA